Molecule: long non-coding RNA, 222 nt
Filed under: Elaeis guineensis (African oil palm)
Lineage: Eukaryota; Viridiplantae; Streptophyta; Magnoliopsida; Arecales; Arecaceae
Description: long non-coding RNA (EGUI_LNC034406)
Source: RNAcentral
ACAAAAUAAUUUAGCGCUACCACUUUGCCUAUGAGGCGUUGAACUUCCUUGAUAUUCCUGGGCGAACUCAUCUCUUAUAUAGUCCAAAUCUUUGUAAGGUUGGCCUCAAUCCCCCAAUUGGAUAGCAUGAAGCCCAGAAAUCUGUCCGACUUAACUCUGAAAGCACAUUUGAUUGGAUUCGGCUUCAUUUUGUAUUUCCUUAAGGUGGCAAAGAUCUCCUCG